UACGGCGAGUGAGCGGCAAGAGCUCAACUUUGGAAUCGCUCCGGCGAGUUGUAGUCUGGAGGUGGCCACCACGAGGUGUUCUAGCAGCAGGCAAGUCCUUUGGAACAAGGCGCCAGCGAGGGUGACAGCCCCGUACCUGCUUUUGCUAGUGCUUCCUGUGGCCAAACCGACGAGUCGAGUUGUUUGGGAAUGCAGCUCUAAGUGGGUGGUAAAUUCCAUCUAAGGCUAAAUAUUGGCGAGAGACCGAUAGCGAACAAGUACAGUGAUGGAAAGAUGAAAAGCACUUUGAAAAGAGAGUGAAACAGUACGUGAAAUUGUUGAAAGGGAAGGGCUUGCACCCAGACACGGUUUCGGCCGGGCCAGCAUCAAGUAGAACGGGGUUAAAAGACUUGGGGAAUGUAGCUACUUCGGUAGUGUUAUAGCCCUUGGUGAUGACCCCUGUUUUGCUUGAGGACAGCGGUCUCUAGGAUGCUGGCGCAAUGGUUGCAAGCCACCCGU
Molecule: ribosomal RNA, 498 nt
Filed under: Candidozyma auris
Lineage: Eukaryota; Fungi; Ascomycota; Pichiomycetes; Serinales; Metschnikowiaceae
Description: LSU rRNA
Rfam family: Eukaryotic large subunit ribosomal RNA
Source: RNAcentral